UACGUAGAUGGCGAGCGUUAUCCGGAAUGACUGGGUGUAAAGGGUGCGUAGGCGGCAUAUCAAGUCAGAUGUGAAAUACCCGUGCUCAACAUGGGAACUGCAUUUGAAACUGAUAAGCUAGAGUACAGGAGAGGAAAGUGGAAUUCCUAGUGUAGCGGUGGAAUGCGUAGAUAUUAGGAGGAACACCAGUGGCGAAGGCGACUUUCUGGACUGUAACUGACGCUGAGGCACGAAAGCAUGGGGAGCGAACAGG
This 253-nucleotide ribosomal RNA is filed under the name uncultured bacterium. RNAcentral describes it as "partial 16S ribosomal RNA". It matches the Rfam family "Bacterial small subunit ribosomal RNA", at positions 524 to 776 of the family's 1533-position model. RNAcentral also lists the same sequence under 1 other name. The record is from RNAcentral.